This 497-nucleotide ribosomal RNA is filed under the name uncultured bacterium. RNAcentral's name for it is "partial 16S ribosomal RNA". It matches the Rfam family "Bacterial small subunit ribosomal RNA", at positions 28 to 507 of the family's 1533-position model. The record is from RNAcentral.
GAUGAACGCUGGCGGCGUGCCUAAUACAUGCAAGUUGAGCGAACAGACGAGGAGCUUGCUCCUCUGACGUUAGCGGCGGACGGGUGAGUAACACGUGGAUAACCUACCUAUAAGACUGGGAUAACUUCGGGAAACCGGAGCUAAUACCGGAUAAUAUAUUGAACCGCAUGGUUCAAUAGUGAAAGACGGUUUUGCUGUCACUUAUAGAUGGAUCCGCGCCGCAUUAGCUAGUUGGUAAGGUAACGGCUUACCAAGGCAACGAUGCGUAGCCGACCUGAGAGGGUGAUCGGCCACACUGGAACUGAGACACGGUCCAGACUCCUACGGGAGGCAGCAGUAGGGAAUCUUCCGCAAUGGGCGAAAGCCUGACGGAGGAACGCCGCGUGAGUGAUGAAGGUCUUCGGAUCGUAAAACUCUGUUAUUAGGGAAGAACAAAUGUGUAAGUAACUAUGCACGUCUUGACGGUACCUAAUCAGAAAGCCACGGCUAACUACGUG